GAUGAAGAACGUAGCGAAAUGCGAUAAGUAAUGUGAAUUGCAGAAUUCCGUGAAUCAUCGAAUCUUUGAACGCAUAUUGCGCCCUCUGGCAUUCCGGGGGGCAUGCCUGUCCGAGCGUCAUUGCUGCCCUCAAGCACGGCUUGUGUGUUGGGCCUCCGUCCUCCUCCCGGGGGACGGGCCCGAAAGGCAGCGGCGGCACCGCGUCCGGUCCUCGAGCGUAUGGGGCUUCGUCACCCGCUCUUGUAGGCCCGGCCGGCGCUUGCCGACACAUCAAUCUUUUUUCCAGGUUGACCUCGGAUCAGGUAGGGAUACCCGCCGAACUUAAGCAUAUCAAUAAGCGGAGGA
RNAcentral lists this unclassified non-coding RNA (345 nucleotides) under soil metagenome. RNAcentral describes it as "partial contains 5.8S ribosomal RNA, internal transcribed spacer 2, and large subunit ribosomal RNA". The stretch from base 1 to 120 matches the Rfam family "5.8S ribosomal RNA", at positions 35 to 154 of the family's 154-position model. The record is from RNAcentral.